RNAcentral lists this ribosomal RNA (253 nucleotides) under uncultured bacterium. RNAcentral describes it as "partial 16S ribosomal RNA". It matches the Rfam family "Bacterial small subunit ribosomal RNA", at positions 524 to 776 of the family's 1533-position model. The record is from RNAcentral.
UACGAAGGGUGCAAGCGUUACUCGGAAUUACUGGGCGUAAAGCGUGCGUAGGUGGUUAGUUAAGUCUGAUGUGAAAGCCCUGGGCUCAACCUGGGAAUGGCAUUGGAUACUGGAGAUCUAGAGUGCGGUAGAGGGCAGUGGAAUUCCCGGUGUAGCAGUGAAAUGCGUAGAGAUCGGGAGGAACAUCUGUGGCGAAGGCGACUGCCUGGACCAGCACUGACACUGAGGCACGAAAGCGUGGGGAGCAAACAGG